RNAcentral lists this ribosomal RNA (461 nucleotides) under Pseudoalteromonas sp. CR-I-E6. RNAcentral describes it as "bacterial SSU rRNA". It matches the Rfam family "Bacterial small subunit ribosomal RNA", at positions 91 to 555 of the family's 1533-position model. Lineage: Bacteria; Pseudomonadati; Pseudomonadota; Gammaproteobacteria; Alteromonadales; Pseudoalteromonadaceae. The record is from RNAcentral.
ACGAGCGGCGGACGGGUGAGUAAUGCUUGGGAACAUGCCUUGAGGUGGGGGACAACCAUUGGAAACGAUGGCUAAUACCGCAUAAUGUCUACGGACCAAAGGGGGCUUCGGCUCUCGCCUUUAGAUUGGCCCAAGUGGGAUUAGCUAGUUGGUGAGGUAAGGGCUCACCAAGGCGACGAUCCCUAGCUGGUUUGAGAGGAUGAUCAGCCACACUGGAACUGAGACACGGUCCAGACUCCUACGGGAGGCAGCAGUGGGGAAUAUUGCACAAUGGGCGCAACCUGAUGCAGCCAUGCCGCGUGUGUGAAGAAGGCCUUAGGGUUGUAAAGCACUUUCAGUCAGGAGGAAAGGUUAGUAGUUAAUACCUGCUAGCUGUGACGUUACUGACAGAAGAAGCACCGGCUAACUCCGUGCCAGCAGCCGCGGUAAUACGGAGGGUGCGAGCGUUAAUCGGAAUUACU